This 241-nucleotide unclassified non-coding RNA is filed under the name Hyaloscypha sp. RNAcentral describes it as "partial contains 5.8S ribosomal RNA, internal transcribed spacer 2, and large subunit ribosomal RNA". The stretch from base 1 to 52 matches the Rfam family "5.8S ribosomal RNA", at positions 103 to 154 of the family's 154-position model. Lineage: Eukaryota; Fungi; Ascomycota; Leotiomycetes; Helotiales; Hyaloscyphaceae. The record is from RNAcentral.
AACGCACAUUGCGCCCUCUGGUAUUCCGGAGGGCAUGCCUGUUCGAGCGUCAUUACAACCCUCAAGCUCUGCUUGGUAUUGGGCUCUGCCGGUCCUGGCAGGCCUCAAAGUCAGUGGCGGUGCCACCCGGCUCCAAGCGUAGUAAUUCUUCUCGCUUCGGAGGCCGCGGUGCGUGCUUGCCAGCAACCCCCAAUUUUUUCAGGUUGACCUCGGAUCAGGUAGGGAUACCCGCUGAACUUAA